RNAcentral lists this unclassified non-coding RNA (549 nucleotides) under Mus musculus (house mouse). RNAcentral describes it as "3' external transcribed spacer". The record is from RNAcentral. Lineage: Eukaryota; Metazoa; Chordata; Mammalia; Rodentia; Muridae.
CCGUCGCACGCCUGCUCGCACGCGACCGUGUCGCUCGCCCGGGCGUCACGGGGGCGGUCGCCUCGGCCCCCGCGCGGUCGCCCGAACGACCGUGUGGUGGGGGGGGGGAUCGUCUUCUCCUCCGUCUCCCGAGGACGGUUCGUUUCUCUUUCCCCUUCCGUCGCUCUCCUUGGGUGUGGGAGCCUCGUGCCGUCGCGACCGCGGCCCGCCGUCGCCUGCCGCCGCAGCCCCUUGCCCUCCGGCCUUGGCCAAGCCGGAGGGCGGAGGAGGGGGCUCGGCGGCGGCGGCGGUGACCGCGGCGCGGUGACGCACGGUGGGGGUCCCCAUCCUCGGCGCGUCCAUCGGGGACGGCCGGUUGGAGGGGCGGAAGGGCUUUUUCCCGUAAACGCCGCGUUCGGCGCCAGGCCUCUGGCGGCCGGGGGGGCGCUCUCUCCGCCCGAGCAUCCCGACUCCCGCCCCUCCUCUUCGCGCGCCGCGGCGGCGACGUGCGUACGAGGGGAGGGUGUCGCGGUGUGGAGGCGGAGAGGGUCCGGCGCGGCGCCUCUUCCA